This 419-nucleotide ribosomal RNA is filed under the name bacterium. RNAcentral describes it as "partial 16S ribosomal RNA". It matches the Rfam family "Bacterial small subunit ribosomal RNA", at positions 355 to 776 of the family's 1533-position model. The record is from RNAcentral.
UGGGGGAUAUUGCACAAUGGGCGAAAGCCUGAUGCAGCGACGCCGCGUGGGGGAUGAAGGCCUUCGGGUUGUAAACUUCUUUUGCUCUGAACAAGGCAUGCUAAUGGGUGUGUUGAGUGUAGGGGUUGAUUAGCGCCGGCUAACUACGUGCCAGCAGCCGCGGUAAUACGUGGGGCGCGAGCGUUGUCCGGAAUUAUUGGGCGUAAAGGGCUUGUAGGUGGCUGGUUGCGUCUGUCGUGAAAGCUCAUGGCUUAACUGUGGGUUUGCGGUGGGUACUGGCUGGCUUGAGUGCAGUAGGGGAGGCUGGAAUUCCUGGUGUAGCGGUGGAAUGCGCAGAUAUCAGGAGGAAUACCGGUGGCGAAGGCGGGUCUCUGGGCUGUUACUGACACUGAGGAGCGAAAGCAUGGGGAGCGAACAGG